Long non-coding RNA from Triticum dicoccoides, 2072 nucleotides. RefSeq lists it as uncharacterized. The record is from RefSeq and is a predicted model, not a curated record. Lineage: Eukaryota; Viridiplantae; Streptophyta; Magnoliopsida; Poales; Poaceae. The transcript is spliced from 3 exons.
AAUCUAGCCAACCGAGUCAUCGGAACGAAUUUCACACCCGUCGCAAUGGAAUUUUACGGCCGGGUCGAGAGAAUUUGGGCGCAUGCGGACGCAAGUCUAGGCUGUGGUUACCAAAUUGCGAGUGCCCUGGGUAGACUGCAGUGGGAGAGGAUUGGGGAAUUGGAGGAACAACAGAGAAUAAGAGGAACGAACAUAGAAGGUGAGAGCGGUUCCGGCGAGCACAUUCCAAACCACUUUCCCCUUGGCUUCUUCCUUCGAUCCCCCAACCCCCGAGUCCAGAUGAGUGAGAGCGGUUCCGGCGAGGACAUGACCCACCGCCGCCGCCGCCGCGGCAGCAGCCCGCCUACGGGGCCUGCCUCCCUGCCGGGCGACGGCGAUCUCCUCUGGGAGAUCCUCCUCCGCCUCCCGCCGCAGCCGUCCUCGCUCCGCCGUCUGCAGGCAAUGGCGGCGCCUCGCCACCGACCCCAAAUUCCUCCGCCGCUUCCGCGAGCACCACCGCAAGCCGCCGCUCCUCGGCGUCUUCGAGUGCCGCGACGAAGCCGUGGUCUUCACCUCCGUCCUCGACCCUCCCGACCGCAUCCGUCCCGAGCGCUUCGACCUGGGACGCUACAGCGGCCGCCGCGACUACACCUUGGCCUGCUGCCGCCACGGCCGCAUCCUCGUCUUAGACCAUGUGGACGGAUGCCUCGUCGUGUGCGCCCCCAUCACCGGCGAGCAGCGCCGCGUGGCCGUUCCGCCCGAGUUCAUGACGGCCCCCUCAACACGUGGAGGUGCUCUUCGCUACCGGCGACAUUGGCCACGUGCACGGAGAAUGCCACUCCGGCCCCUUCAAGGUGGUCCUGGUGUCCAUGAUCGGAGAGGAUUUUCGACCCAUCGCUUGUGUCUACUCCUCUGAGACCGGCUUAUGGGGCAGUCUCGUAUCAAGUCCAUGUUCACCUCCUUUCGGGUAUGGUAGAACUGGCAGACUUGUUGGCAACACACUUUACUGGUUGCUUUGGUCUGUUAUGCGGGAUAGCAUACUUGAGUUUGAUUUGGAAAAUUUGAGUCUGGUUUUGAUGGAUCAGCCACCCAUUGACGAUGAUUUUCGCCUUGCCGGCUGUCAGAUCAUCAAGGCUGAGGAUGACGCUCUUGGCUUUGCCUAUUUGUCUUACCCAAGCUUCCAAAUGUGGCAGAGGAAUUUCAAUGCUCAUGGUGUUGCCAUAUGGGUGCUGUGGAAGACCAUCGAAUUGCAUAGCAUUCUUGGGCUUCCUCCUCAUAUUCAGAGACCCACAGCUGAGGUGGUAACUGUUACGGACUUGAUCUUUCAAAAAACUGUUACGGACUUGGACCAUGCUGGGAAGAUGGGAGUUAUACUGAGCUAUGCUGAGGAUACUGAUGUAGUUUUUUAUAUUUGUGGAUGCAAAUGUCUACAUGGUUCAACUUAAUCCAAUGCAAUCCAAGAAACUUCAUGAAACAAAGUGCAUCCUUGACAACUAUCCUUUCACAGGUUUCUAUACACCGGGUAAUUGCUCAUCUUAGUCCUAAUAUUUUAGGAACAACCCAAUCCAGCUAUAUUUCUUACAAUGUUGCCAUAUGGGUGCUGUGGAAGACCAUUGAAUUGCAUAGCAUUCUUGGGCUUCCUCCUCAGAUUCAGUGACCCGCAAGUGAGGUGGUAACUGUUACGGACUCGGACCAUGCUGGGAAGAUGGGAGUUAUACUGAGCUAUGCUGAGGAUACUGAUGUAGUUUUUAUAUUUGUGGAUGCAAAUGUCUACAAUUCAAGUGUAUCCUUGACAACUAUCCUUUCACAAGUUUCUAUGCGCCAGGCACAGCCAUUGCUGAUGGAUCUAAUGGAGCUGAAAACGCUGCACAACACAUUGGAUGAUUGCUAAUGUGCUGAAAUGGUUCAGCAUGCGAAGGAACAGCUGCUGCAGUUCUAGCUGGGUCUGUCGCAUCGUCUAUGUGUUUGGCAGAAUUUAUAAGUUAUCUACCCGAACUUCCUGAACGUGUGCUAAGUUUCUAAUGUAACAAGAUGCUUUUAAAUAGCCUACUAUUUUGCUGUAUCUCCCGAGUAAUAUUUUCAGUCGUAUUUCA